RNAcentral lists this ribosomal RNA (467 nucleotides) under Candidatus Roizmanbacteria bacterium RIFCSPHIGHO2_01_FULL_38_41. RNAcentral describes it as "bacterial SSU rRNA". It matches the Rfam family "Bacterial small subunit ribosomal RNA", at positions 1043 to 1533 of the family's 1533-position model. The record is from RNAcentral. Lineage: Bacteria; Candidatus Roizmaniibacteriota.
GCAUGGCUGUCGUCAGUUCGUUCCGUGAGGAGUGCCCUUAAGUGGGACAACGAACGUAACCCUUGUCCCGAGUUACACGUAUCUCGGGAGACUGCCCCGCCGAUGGCGGGGAGGAAGGAGAGGCAGACGUCAAGUCAGCAUGACGCUUAUGCCCUGGGCGACACACAUGUUACAAUGAGAUGGACAAUGGGUUGCUAAACGGUAACGCGGAGCUAAUCCUAUAAACCAUCUCUCAGUGGGGAUUGAGGUCUGAAACUCGACCUCAUGAACGUGGAAUUAGUAGUAAUCGCGGAUCAGCCAUGCCGCGGUGAAUACGUUCUUGUCUCUUGCACACACUGCCCGUCAAGCCAACAAAGUCGGGAGUACCUGAACCCUGCUUUUGCGGGGGAGGGUAAGACCGGCGAUGGGGACUAAGUCGUAACAAGGUACCCGUUCUGGAAGGAGCGGGUGAAUCACCUCCUUUCUAU